CUCCUGGGCACUUGCCUUGCCAUUUGCCCUUGGAAACUGAAGGCUGCUUCAGCUCCAUUUGGGGGUUUUCUGAGCUCUUUCCAAGAGGAUUUCCUUACUGCUGUUUCCUCUCUUCUGUCUUCCAAGAACCCCUGUUUUUCAGAAGUUUAACUCUCCAGGACUAACUCUGAUUUUCCUAUUUUUCUCUCAUAUUUUCCAUCACAUUGUCUAUUUGUGUGUGUGUGUGUGUGUGUGUGUGUGAAGGGGGGUGAAGUAGAAAAGAAUAUCUUUACUUGCUUUGCCAAGGCUGAGGGGCCCCAGAGGGCUAAUGCCCUCAAAGCCGUGUGUCCAGACCUGGAGGGAGUAGUCGUGGCUCAAGGCCUGUGUGAGCAGCUCGGGGACGCCGUGCUGACGGGCUGGUGGUGUGGUGAGUGACAGUCAGCGUCACCAACCUUCCGGCUUCAGCGAGUCUCGGGUCUACGUGCCUGUGGGCAGCAGACACUGAACUUCUGCCGCCUGGCGGGGGUUCAGCAUCUGCGUCUGGACACACUGACUCUCAGGUUCUGAUGUCUCAUGGCAGAAAGAAGUCUGUGAGAGACAAAGUGACAGGGCCCAGGAUCGUGUGAACACAGCUGUCACGGGCGCUGGGAAACCAAGAUCUCCGUGUACCUUGCUUUAUUGCGAUAUCUGCCACAUCUCGGUGGUCUGGAAACCAAGCCACACUGUCUGUCCUGGACUGUGGGACUAUGAAGACUCCCUUUUCAAAAACAAACAAGCAAAAGACACCCGUUGGCCCUCCACUUGCUGGGAACUUGGCUUCUGACAUCUUCAUGUUGAGAAAUACGAGGGCCUCUGCGGCUUCUCCCCAGACGCUCGUCCCUCCCUGGCUCUCCCGCCGCGUUUCUGCAGGUCUGUGUCCCUCCGCACGUGCUGGUUUAGUCGCUCAGUUGUAUCCGAUUCUGCAACCCCCUGGACUGUAGCCCACCGGGCUCCUCUGUCCAUGGGAUUCUCCAGCCAAGAAUAUUGGAGUGGGUUGCCAUGCCCUUCUCUGCAGCCAGAGGGUCUCUCAAACCUGCAGAGCUGGUGCUGGUGGCUCCACUCGAGCGCCCAGAGCUUUCCUCGGUCCCCCGGGUCGAGUCUGAGCUCUGCGCCCAGCUGAGCGGGCCCCAGGAUCUGAAACCAACUGUCUCUCCCUCCAGCCUCCAUGCCCUCUGCUGUCUCUGCUCCAGUCACCCUGACCUUUAUUUACAGACAAACUGCUCUGCACAGGAGAGCACAUGCUGUCUGAAUCCUAGCCCCCGGGUGCCUCCUGUCCUCGCUGGCAGCUGCCUGCCUGCCCCUGUGACGGUGCAGGGACCCUGCCAGCUUUUCCCGGGUCCCCACGCGUCCCUGAGCCGGUCGGGGGGAGGGGAAAGCGGUGCCCCCUCCUCCAGGGCACGGUUGGGGGGAGCGUUCCCACCUCCGCCCCCUCCUGCCCCUGCCCCCGGGUGUGGGGAGAGGCCCCACUGUCCUGUCUCAGGGGGCCCCACCUGGUAUGCACAGAGGUGAGUCAGGGCCAGCCUUGGCCUCCUGGACUCACUUGGGCUUCUUGGAGCCUGCGUUCCACCGGUGCGUGGGCUGCUCCCUGGGGGCCUGGCCUCCACUGCAUUGGCCCGGGGACCCCGUCCACCAGCCCAUUUGGCCGCUGGGUCCCGAAGGGGACGAGGUCCUGGUGGACUGGGGGUGGUUUUUCGGGGCACCUGGCCUUUCUUCCCUGCAAACUCCCCUUCCCCCUUGGAGGCCAAGGUGGAUGGCGGUGCUCUCAGAGUAGGCCUGUGUAGGGUCCCAGGGGCCCCAGAAGCCCUCCGAGCCCAGGACUCUGCUGUAGAGGAGGCACCUGGGGCCCUGAACAGGCUCGUUAGACCAGCCGGGCCCCUGGGCCGGAUUUUUUUCUCUA
Long non-coding RNA from Bos taurus (domestic cattle), 1915 nucleotides. NCBI's taxonomy places the organism in Eukaryota, Metazoa, Chordata, Mammalia, Artiodactyla, Bovidae. The record is from Ensembl.